This 242-nucleotide ribosomal RNA is filed under the name uncultured bacterium. RNAcentral describes it as "partial 16S ribosomal RNA". It matches the Rfam family "Bacterial small subunit ribosomal RNA", at positions 92 to 334 of the family's 1533-position model. The record is from RNAcentral.
AGAGCGGCGCACGGGUGCGGAACACGUGUGCAACCUGCCUUUAUCUGGGGGAUAGCCUUUCGAAAGGAAGAUUAAUACCCCAUAAUAUGUUGGAUGGCAUCAUUCGACAUUGAAAAACUCCGGUGGAUAGAGAUGGGCACGCGCAGGAUUAGAUAGUUGGUGAGGUAACGGCUCACCAAGUCAACGAUCCUUAGGGGGCCUGAGAGGGUGAUCCCCCACACUGGUACUGAGACACGGACCAG